This is a long non-coding RNA of Anolis carolinensis (green anole), 1443 nucleotides long. RefSeq lists it as uncharacterized. The record is from RefSeq and is a predicted model, not a curated record. NCBI's taxonomy places the organism in Eukaryota, Metazoa, Chordata, Lepidosauria, Squamata, Anolidae. The transcript has 3 exons.
UUAACAGUUUACUUUUCUUUCAUGGGGCAUUGUAAAAUGAUGGAUGCACACAGGCAAAUCUAUAGAUUUCAAAUAUUGUUCACAAAAUGAGGGGGACAGCAAAGCAGCUCUAGUGACUGUUUUUAGAACCACACAGCAUUCAAGAUCAGCCAGAGAGAAGCUAACGGUUUGCUCAAGAACGGACAAAAAUCAAUAGAAUCAUUGCUAGUCAAUUCAGUAAAUACAGGUGGCAUUCUGAACUUUUCACACAUUGGUGAACAAAAUUCCAAACUUGAAAUUAGAGAACAACACUGAAUAGGUAAGCACAACUCAUCCUGUAAAGGUUCACAGAUUGCUUUGCAGUUUUAGGUGUAUCGUUAAAAAAGUUAGCUAUAUACUUAACAUAAUUGGUGAAAUAUGUGUGGACUGGAUAAGACGAUUUUAAUGUCAUUGCAUGGAAUGGAGAUUGACAAAUCAGUCAGCUUGGGUUCAUUUAAGGUAUUCCCUUUUUAUCUUAAAUCUGAUUUGUCCUAUACUGUGAGAAAAAAAGUAUAUAUUUUAUAUUUUCAUUUUUCCAAUGUCUUAAAAUAUUAAUAUUUAUUAAAAUAUUUUGAUCUUAUCCUCAAUUAAAGAAAUUGUGUGUGUGUGUGUGUGUGUGUGUGUGUGCAUGUCUGUUUGUCUCACAGUACCACAAAGGCUAGGUGACAAUCCAGUGACCAUUUGUGAUCUCACUGGAUCAACUAUUGCUAGGUGAAGGAUUGGCUGUUGCUAGGUAAUGUGGCUCUUUGUGAUGUAACUGGGAAAGUAAGGUGACACGUGUAUGAGUGGAGGGAAGGAAAGAAGAAAAGAGCCAAAUAGAAAGCUAUGUUGCCAUGAAAACAUUGUAUGGCUCUCCAGAGCUGGAGAAUGUGAAAAAAGAAGGAAAAGGAUAAGGAAGGGAGGGGGGAGAAAGAAAAGGGAAAGAAGAGAAAGGGCAGGAAAAAUGAUCCGUUUCAAAAAACAGUCUUUGGAUGGUUUGGUUGCUUUGGAUGCUCGUAACAACAUGGGCUCUACCGCCAUUUUUUUCCCAGUCACAACAGAACAGCGGCUGUCAAAAAUCGGCUGCUUUCGGUUUCUUUCAGUUACACGUGGAGUGCGGGGACAUGUACAUGCCUAGUGGUUUCUUAAUCCUGUUGCCUAAAACCCAGGUGUCUCGGAAGGACAGAAGAAUAAGGGAACAGAAGUGGAAACAGAUGGAAUAAAGGUGUGAUUUUGGAAGAAUGACAGUUGCAGAAAUACAAAUGGACAGAUUUGUCCCAUUCCUACCUCUACUUUAAUUAUCAAGCCAGGCAUCAAUUAAAUUUUGAAACAUUGUUAAAUACAUUUCUCCUGGAUUUUAAGCAGCAAAAACUUGCCACUCGCCGAAACCUUGAAUGCCAAUUCAAAGCUUGGAAGACCAUUUUUUAAUACUACAGCUCCAUAAAU